GACGAACGCUGGCGGCGUGCUUAACACAUGCAAGUCGAACGGAAAGGCCCUGCUUUUGUGGGGUGCUCGAGUGGCGAACGGGUGAGUAACACGUGAGUAACCUGCCCUUGACUUUGGGAUAACUUCAGGAAACUGGGGCUAAUACCGGAUAGGAGCUCCUGCUGCAUGGUGGGGGUUGGAAAGUUUCGGCGGUUGGGGAUGGACUCGCGGCUUAUCAGCUUGUUGGUGGGGUAGUGGCUUACCAAGGCUUUGACGGGUAGCCGGCCUGAGAGGGUGACCGGCCACAUUGGGACUGAGAUACGGCCCAGACUCCUACGGGAGGCAGCAGUGGGGAAUAUUGCACAAUGGGCGGAAGCCUGAUGCAGCAACGCCGCGUGCGGGAUGACGGCCUUCGGGUUGUAAACCGCUUUCGCCUGUGACGAAGCGUGAGUGACGGUAAUGGGUAAAGAAGCACCGGCUAACUACGUGCCAGCAGCCGCGGUGAUACGUAGGGUGCGAGCGUUGUCCGGAUUUAUUGGGCGUAAAGGGCUCGUAGGUGGUUGAUCGCGUCGGAAGUGUAAUCUUGGGGCUUAACCCUGAGCGUGCUUUCGAUACGGGUUGACUUGAGGAAGGUAGGGGAGAAUGGAAUUCCUAGUGGAGCGGUGGAAUGCGCAGAUAUCAGGAGGAACACCAGUGGCGAAGGCGGUUCUCUGGGCCUUUCCUGACGCUGAGGAGCGAAAGCGUGGGGAGCGAACAGGCUUAGAUACCCUGGUAGUCCACGCUGUAAACGGUGGGUACUAGGUGUGGGGUCCAUUCCACGGGUUCCGUGCCGUAGCUAACGCUUUAAGUACCCCGCCUGGGGAGUACGGCCGCAAGGCUAAAACUCAAAGGAAUUGACGGGGCCCCGCACAAGCGGCGGAGCAUGCGGAUUAAUUCGAUGCAACGCGUAGAACCUUACCUGGGUUUGACAUGGAUCGGGAGCGCUCAGAGAUGGGUGUGCCUCUUUUGGGGUCGGUUCACAGGUGGUGCAUGGCUGUCGUCAGCUCGUGUCGUGAGAUGUUGGGUUAAGUCCCGCAACGAGCGCAACCCUUGUUCACUGUUGCCAGCACGUUAUGGUGGGGACUCAGUGGAGACCGCCGGGGUCAACUCGGAGGAAGGUGGGGAUGACGUCAAGUCAUCAUGCCCCUUAUGUCCAGGGCUUCACGCAUGCUACAAUGGCUGGUACAGAGAGUGGCGAGCCUGUGAGGGUGAGCGAAUCUCGGAAAGCCGGUCUCAGUUCGGAUUGGGGUCUGCAACUCGACCUCAUGAAGUCGGAGUCGCUAGUAAUCGCAGAUCAGCAACGCUGCGGUGAAUACGUUCCCGGGGCU
This 1346-nucleotide ribosomal RNA is filed under the name uncultured bacterium. RNAcentral describes it as "bacterial SSU rRNA". It matches the Rfam family "Bacterial small subunit ribosomal RNA", at positions 28 to 1381 of the family's 1533-position model. The record is from RNAcentral.